This is a long non-coding RNA of Drosophila navojoa, 169 nucleotides long. The record is from RefSeq and is a predicted model, not a curated record. NCBI's taxonomy places the organism in Eukaryota, Metazoa, Arthropoda, Insecta, Diptera, Drosophilidae.
AUGGCAUUUUAAAAUGUAUAUAUACUGUAUAGGGAGUCUCCACAACACCGACUUAUAGACACACAUCUUAUAAGGGCGUUGAGACUCUGACAAUAUAGAGAACAUGACACACAAAACAAAACGUGUAUAUCAAAUCAUACAGAGGAGAAAUUAAAAACAAAACAAAAAA